CUACGGGAUGCUGCAGUGAGGAAUAUUGCACAAUGGGGGGAACCCUGAUGCAGCAACGCCGCGUGGAGGAUGACGCAUUUCGGUGUGUAAACUCCUUUUAUAUGUCAAGAAAAUGACGGUAGCAUAUGAAUAAGCACCGGCUAACUCCGUGCCAGCAGCCGCGGUAAUACGGAGGGUGCAAGCGUUACUCGGAAUCACUGGGCGUAAAGGAUGCGUAGGCGGGUUGGAAAGUCAGGUGGGAAAUCCUACAGCUUAACUGUAGAACUGCACUUGAAACUUCUAAUCUAGAGUAUGGGAGGGGGAGAUGGAAUUAGUGGUGUAGGGGUAAAAUCCGUAGAUAUCACUAGGAAUACCUAAAGCGAAGGCGAUCUCCUGGAACAUUACUGACGCUAAGGCGUGAAAGCGUGGGGAGCAAACAGGAUUAGAUACCCCAGUAGUC
RNAcentral lists this ribosomal RNA (439 nucleotides) under uncultured bacterium. RNAcentral's name for it is "partial 16S ribosomal RNA". It matches the Rfam family "Bacterial small subunit ribosomal RNA", at positions 339 to 795 of the family's 1533-position model. The record is from RNAcentral.